Molecule: long non-coding RNA, 313 nt
Filed under: Zostera marina
Lineage: Eukaryota; Viridiplantae; Streptophyta; Magnoliopsida; Alismatales; Zosteraceae
Description: long non-coding RNA (ZMAR_LNC004242)
Source: RNAcentral
CGGGAUUCCAAGCUAUCCCGAGGAUCUACUUCAAGCACUUCUCCGAGCUUCCCAUUCCGGAGAUUAUAAGCGAAGUGCUUCUGACGUUUGGAGUUUCAUUGUCGCAGCUCCCGGCGGGAUUCUUCGUAAUCCUGCGGGGUUUCAUGAAUAUCUGCUGGGGAUUGAACGUUGCUGCGACGGCGAGCUUGUUUCUGUAUUAUUACAAGCUCACUCGAGAAAAGUCUGCAUCCGGUCGCGUUGGAUUCACGCGACGUCAUUUUGAUAAGAACAUCGUCGACGAGCUCCCGACGAACUUUGGAUGCAACUGGAGGAG